Molecule: small RNA, 615 nt
Filed under: Pan troglodytes (chimpanzee)
Lineage: Eukaryota; Metazoa; Chordata; Mammalia; Primates; Hominidae
Description: processed transcript
Source: RNAcentral
GGGGCUUGCUGGGAUCAUGGCGGAGAAUCACUGCGAGCUCCUGUCGCCGGCCCGGGGCGGCAUCGGGGCGGGGCUGGGGGGCGGCCUGUGCCGCCGCUGCAGCGCUGGGCUCAGCGCCCUGGCCCAGCGCCCCGGCAGCGUGUCCAAGUGGGUCCGACUCAACGUCGGCGGCACCUACUUCCUCACCACUCGGCAGACCCUGUGCCGGGACCCGAAAUCCUUCCUGUACCGCUUAUGCCAGGCCGAUCCCGACCUGGACUCAGACAAGGAUGAAACAGGCGCCUAUUUAAUCGACAGAGACCCCACCUACUUUGGGCCUGUGCUGAACUACCUGAGACAUGGCAAGCUGGUGAUUAACAAAGACCUCGCAGAGGAAGGAGUGUUGGAGGAAGCAGAAUUUUACAAUAUCACCUCAUUAAUAAAACUUGUAAAGGACAAAAUUAGAGAACGAGACAGCAAAACAUCGCAGCCCCGUCUGCAGCCUGAGUCCUCCGUAGUGAGUGUCCGGGAUGUGGGGCCACCCCGCCCACUGGGGAGCAGCUCCAUGCAAGCAGGCGGCCCUGGUGGCUCACCAUCACUCCCAGGACCACAGCUGCCUGGAGGGGCACAGCAAGC